RNAcentral lists this ribosomal RNA (463 nucleotides) under uncultured bacterium. Its description in RNAcentral is "partial 16S ribosomal RNA". It matches the Rfam family "Bacterial small subunit ribosomal RNA", at positions 338 to 795 of the family's 1533-position model. The record is from RNAcentral.
CCUACGGGUGGCUGCAGUGAGGAAUAUUGGUCAAUGGGCGCGAGCCUGAACCAGCCAAGUCGCGUGAGGGAUGACGGUCCUACGGAUUGUAAACCUCUUUUGCCGGGGAGCAAGCGUGCGUUCGUGAACGCACGUCGAGAGUACCCGGAGAAAAAGCAUCGGCUAACUCCGUGCCAGCAGCCGCGGUCAUACGUAGGAUGCGAGCAUUAUCCGGAGUGACUGGGGGUAAAGAGUUGCGUAGGUGGCAUAAUAAGUAGCUAGUGAAAUCUUGGGGCUCAACCAUUCAGACUAUUAGCUAAACUGUUAAGCUUGAGAGCGUUAGGGGUAACUGGAAUUUCUAGUGUAGGAGUGAAAUGCGUAGAUAUUAGAAGGAACACCAAUAGCGUAGGCAGGUUACUGGGACGGUUCUGACACUAAGGCACGAAAGCGUAGGGAGCAAACGGGAUUAGAUACCCCUGUAGUC